RNAcentral lists this ribosomal RNA (425 nucleotides) under uncultured bacterium. Its description in RNAcentral is "partial 16S ribosomal RNA". It matches the Rfam family "Bacterial small subunit ribosomal RNA", at positions 354 to 796 of the family's 1533-position model. The record is from RNAcentral.
GUGGGGAAUCUUAGACAAUGGGCGCAAGCCUGAUCUAGCCAUGCCGCGUGAGCGAUGAAGGCCUUAGGGUUGUAAAGCUCUUUCGUGGGGGAAGAUAAUGACUGUACCCCAAGAAGAAGCCCCGGCUAACUCCGUGCCAGCAGCCGCGGUAAUACGGAGGGGGCUAGCGUUGUUCGGAAUUACUGGGCGUAAAGCGCACGUAGGCGGACUGGAAAGUCAGGGGUGAAAUCCCGGGGCUCAACCCCGGAACUGCCUUUGAAACUCCCAGUCUUUAGUUCGAGAGAGGUGAGUGGAAUUCCGAGUGUAGAGGUGAAAUUCGUAGAUAUUCGGAGGAACACCAGUGGCGAAGGCGGCUCACUGGCUCGAUACUGACGCUGAGGUGCGAAAGCGUGGGGAGCAAACAGGAUUAGAAACCCGUGUAGUCC